Molecule: transfer RNA, 69 nt
Filed under: Pselaphinae sp. 11 EF-2015
Lineage: Eukaryota; Metazoa; Arthropoda; Insecta; Coleoptera; Staphylinidae
Description: tRNA-Trp
Source: RNAcentral
AAGGAUUUAAGUUAAAUAAACUAAUAACCUUCAAAGUUUUAAAUAAAGAAGAUUAUUCUUUAAGCCUUA